AAAUUAAGAUGGAUUAGUUCGGAUGAUGACGAAAUUGUGAAAUACAAGGACGGGGAUAUUCAAGAUCAUAAAAAUAUCAAAGACAAAAUUUAUGAAUGCGACAAAUUCGCCGGUAAUGAUAUCAAAGAAGCGUACGAAGGAG
Long non-coding RNA from Saccostrea cuccullata (small rock oyster), 142 nucleotides. RefSeq lists it as uncharacterized. The record is from RefSeq and is a predicted model, not a curated record. NCBI's taxonomy places the organism in Eukaryota, Metazoa, Mollusca, Bivalvia, Ostreida, Ostreidae. The transcript has 2 exons.